Molecule: ribosomal RNA, 251 nt
Filed under: uncultured prokaryote
Description: partial 16S ribosomal RNA
Rfam family: Bacterial small subunit ribosomal RNA
Source: RNAcentral
UACGGAGGAUGCAAGCGUUAUCCGGAUUUAUUGGGUUUAAAGGGUGCGCAGGUUGUUUGAUAAGUCAGUGGUGAAAGUCUGUCGCUUAACGGUAGGAUUGCCAUUGAUACUGUUGGACUUGAAUAUGGAUGAGGUAGGCGGAAUGUGUAGUGUAGCGGUGAAAUGCUUAGAUAUCACACAGAAUAUCAAUUGCGAAGGCAGCUCACAAAGCCAAGAUUGACGCUGAGGCACGAAAGUGUGGGGAUCAAACA